UGAAUUAGGGUUUCCUUGGGAAACAAGCCUCAAGCCCUUUGGGUUAUCUUGAUCAAAUUGGAAAAUUGGGAUACUUGGGAGACAUAUAUGAUGAUUUAGAGCUUUGGGAACCAUUUUCAUACUUGCUUUCAUCUUCAUCUAGCCAUUUCAAUGAGCAUAGGAGCUUCCUAGGAGCAAGGGCACAGGUGACCACUUGAGCUUCA
This 203-nucleotide long non-coding RNA is filed under the name Lathyrus oleraceus (garden pea). RNAcentral describes it as "Pisum sativum (pea) long non-coding RNA (PSAT_LNC008914)". Lineage: Eukaryota; Viridiplantae; Streptophyta; Magnoliopsida; Fabales; Fabaceae. The record is from RNAcentral.